CUACGGGCCGCAGCAGUGGGGAAUAUUGCACAAUGGGCGCAAGCCUGAUGCAGCCAUGCCGCGUGUAUGAAGAAGGCCUUCGGGUUGUAAAGUACUUUCAGCGGGGAGGAAGGGAGUAAAGUUAAUACCUUUGCUCAUUGACGUUACCCGCAGAAGAAGCACCGGCUAACUCCGUGCCAGCAGCCGCGGUAAUACGGAGGGUGCAAGCGUUAAUCGGAAUUACUGGGCGUAAAGCGCACGCAGGUGGUUUGUUAAGUCAGAUGUGAAAUCCCCGGGCUCAACCUGGGAACUGCAUCUGAUACUGGCAAGCUCGAGUCUCGUAGAGGGGGGUAGAAUUCCAGGUGUAGCGGUGAAAUGCGUAGAGAUCUGGAGGAAUACCGGUGGCGAAGGCGGCCCCCUGGACGAAGACUGACGCUCAGGUGCGAAAGCGUGGGGAGCAAACAGGAUUAGAUACCCUUGUAGUC
RNAcentral lists this ribosomal RNA (464 nucleotides) under uncultured bacterium. Its description in RNAcentral is "partial 16S ribosomal RNA". It matches the Rfam family "Bacterial small subunit ribosomal RNA", at positions 339 to 795 of the family's 1533-position model. The record is from RNAcentral.